UACAGAGGUGGCAAGCGUUGUUCGGAAUUACUGGGCGUAAAGGGCGCGUAGGCGGCUUGGUCAGUCCCGUGUGAAAUCCUUCGGCUCAACUGAGGAACUGCACGGGAAACUGCCUGGCUUGAGUUCGGGAGAGGGAAGCGGAAUUCCGGGUGUAGCGGUGAAAUGCGUAGAUAUCCGGAGGAACACCGGUGGCGAAGGCGGCUUCCUGGACCGACACUGACGCUGAGGCGCGAAAGCUAGGGGAGCAAACGGG
This 253-nucleotide ribosomal RNA is filed under the name uncultured bacterium. Its description in RNAcentral is "partial 16S ribosomal RNA". It matches the Rfam family "Bacterial small subunit ribosomal RNA", at positions 524 to 776 of the family's 1533-position model. The record is from RNAcentral.